CCCCCGGAGGACUAGUGGUUAGGCCACGGCGCUCUCACCGCUGCGGCCCGGGUUCGAUUCCCGGCCAGGGAA
RNAcentral lists this transfer RNA (72 nucleotides) under Pangasius djambal. RNAcentral's name for it is "tRNA-Glu". It matches the Rfam family "tRNA". From Rfam's summary of the family: Transfer RNA (tRNA) molecules are approximately 80 nucleotides in length. Their secondary structure includes four short double-helical elements and three loops (D, anti-codon, and T loops). The record is from RNAcentral. Lineage: Eukaryota; Metazoa; Chordata; Actinopteri; Siluriformes; Pangasiidae.